GACGAACGCUGGCGGCGUGCUUAACACAUGCAAGUGGAGCGACGAACCAGGCUUCGGCCUGGGGCAGAGCCGCGAACGGGUGAGUAACACGUGGGUAACCUGCCCUGAUGAUUGGGACAACCCGAGGAAACUCGGGCUAAUACCAAAUGUGCCCUCCGGCCGUAAGGCCUCUGGGGAAAGGAAGCUUCGGCCUCCGCAUCGGGAUGGGCCCGCGGCCCAUUGGCUUGUUGGUGAGGUAACGGCNCACCAAGGCUACGAUGGGUAGCUGGUCUGAGAGGACGAUCAGCCACACUGGGACUGAGACACGGCCCAGACUCCUACGGGAGGCAGCAGUGGGGAAUCUUGCGCAAUGCGCGAAAGCGUGACGCAGCAACGCCGCGUGGGGAAGAAGGCCUCGGUGUAACCC
RNAcentral lists this ribosomal RNA (406 nucleotides) under uncultured bacterium. RNAcentral describes it as "bacterial SSU rRNA". It matches the Rfam family "Bacterial small subunit ribosomal RNA", at positions 28 to 431 of the family's 1533-position model. The record is from RNAcentral.